CUGAGGGGGGGGGGGUGGAUCCCUUAAUUAAUAAUUAUUCCUAGAUGCCGGGCGGCUACGCCGCCCUGGCCUCAGGAAAAGACCAGUUCGUGAUGUCCGUGACGGGAUUGGACCUUACCUUUAAUGGUGUUUGGUGGAAAGCUUUUGCGGUUCAGGAUGGGCCCGCGGCCUAUCAGCUUGUUGGUGGGGUAAUGGCCUACCAAGGCGACGACGGGUAGCCGACCUGAGAGGGUGAUCGGCCACACUGGGACUGAGACACGGCCCAGACUCCUACGGGAGGCAGCAGUGGGGAAUAUUGCACAAUGGGCGCAAGCCUGAUGCAGCGACGCCGCGUGAGGGAUGACGGCCUUCGGGUUGUAAACCUCUUUCACCAGGGACGAAGCGCAAGUGACGGUACCUGGAGAAGAAGCACCGGCCAACUACGUGCCAGCAGCCGCGGUAAUACGUAGGGUGCGAGCGUUGUCCGGAAUUACUGGGCGUAAAGAGCUCGUAGGCGGUUUGUCGCGUCGUCUGUGAAAUUCUGCAACUCAAUUGUAGGCGUGCAGGCGAUACGGGCAGACUUGAGUACUACAGGGGAGACUGGAAUUCCUGGUGUAGCGGUGAAAUGCGCAGAUAUCAGGAGGAACACCGGUGGCGAAGGCGGGUCUCUGGGUAGUAACUGACGCUGAGGAGCGAAAGCGUGGGUAGCGAACAGGAUUAGAUACCCUGGUAGUCCACGCCGUAAACGGUGGGUACUAGGUGUGGGGCUCAUUUCACGAGUUCCGUGCCGUAGCUAACGCAUUAAGUACCCCGCCUGGGGAGUACGGCCGCAAGGUUAAAACUCAAAGGAAUUGACGGGGGCCCGCACAGCGCGAGCAUGUGAUUAUUCGAUGCAACGCGAAAACCUUACUGGUUUGACAUACACCAGAAGCUGUAGAGAUAUAGCUCUCCUUGUGUGUGUACAGUGAUGCAUGCUGUCGUCAGCUCGGUCGGAAUGUGUUAGUCCCGCACGAGCGCACUCUUGUUCUUGAUUGCAGGGUUAUGCGGAACUGCAAGGAACUGCGGUUAAAU
RNAcentral lists this ribosomal RNA (1050 nucleotides) under Gordonia sp. ZD-7. RNAcentral's name for it is "bacterial SSU rRNA". It matches the Rfam family "Bacterial small subunit ribosomal RNA", at positions 131 to 1160 of the family's 1533-position model. The record is from RNAcentral. Lineage: Bacteria; Bacillati; Actinomycetota; Actinomycetes; Mycobacteriales; Gordoniaceae.